GCCCCUAUAGCUCAGUCGGAUAGAGCAGUGGUUUCCUAAACCAUGUGCCCCAGGUUCGAUUCCUGGUAGGGGCA
This 74-nucleotide transfer RNA is filed under the name Calditrichota bacterium. RNAcentral's name for it is "Calditrichaeota bacterium tRNA-Arg". It matches the Rfam family "tRNA". From Rfam's summary of the family: Transfer RNA (tRNA) molecules are approximately 80 nucleotides in length. Their secondary structure includes four short double-helical elements and three loops (D, anti-codon, and T loops). The record is from RNAcentral. Lineage: Bacteria; Pseudomonadati; Calditrichota.